RNAcentral lists this long non-coding RNA (864 nucleotides) under Elaeis guineensis (African oil palm). RNAcentral's name for it is "long non-coding RNA (EGUI_LNC022716)". Lineage: Eukaryota; Viridiplantae; Streptophyta; Magnoliopsida; Arecales; Arecaceae. The record is from RNAcentral.
GGAUUGGUGCCGUGCACGGUCGUGCUGGUGCACGCAGUGAAGGAUAUAAUUUCUCCCCUAUGGGUUGGCUGCUGCAGACUUCAAGGGUUUCCCCUUGUGGCGGCCCCCUUCUUCUAUCAAGGUAUUUUUGCACUGUUCUUGGAUGUGAAUUUUUUUUUUCCUUUUUUCUUUCCUUUGUUCGGGGAAAUAGGAGAGAACAGAGCAGAAAGAAAGAACGGAGGAUUGCGAAAAUAAAGGAUAAUAAGAGAAGAGAAAGAUCCCUUCUUCUCUCUCCAAGUCUCUCCACCUGACGGGGGGGGGUUAGCAGAACCUCAUCUCUGUUGGUUGAGCAUCCAAACUGGGAUUAUGAUCCCCUCUUCUCCUCACUCCGAAACAAAUGGGAGAUUCUAUCUCUCUCCUCUCUACCGCCUGCCUGUCUUCUCGACCAACAUAGGUGAAAGAUGAAUGCAUGCUUCAAUUAAAUUUUAGCAGCUUUAUUUUUAAAUUAAUCGAUAUUUUGUUUCUGUUUUCCUUUUCGAUCUGCGUACAAAAGGGCAAACAUGAAUCCAGAUCAUACCAGCAUCCUAUACCUUCUUUCGACCGUUUUCCUUUUUCUUUUUUUUUCUUCUUUUGAGGAAACCGAUUGAUUCAUCGACAAAAGCACGCUCUCUUGGAGUUCGGGAUUAAAAAAAAUUCGAGGUGAUUAGAGCGGUGAGCAUGCGUCGGAGAUGAAGCGGAAAGGGAGACGGUAAGGACGCGGGACACCCCUAGAUUUUGCGCCGGGGAUUCUGCGAUUCUUGCUGGUGGAGGAGACGAAGAGUUUGAAUGGGUCCGGGCAUGUGGCUGCUUCUCUUGCCACAAGCAAAGUCAAAGGUAAACACGCGG